GAAUUCACUAGUGAUUCAGGCCUAACACAUGCAAUUCGAGCGGGAUCUUUCUAAAUGACGCUUCGGUUGAUUUUAGAAAGUGAGAGCGGCGGACGGGUGAGUAACGCGUAGGCAACCUGCCCUUUGCAGAGGGAUAGCCAUUGGAAACGAUGAUUAAAACCUCAUAACGCCAGAUUGAGACAUCUCUAACUGGCCAAAGAUUUAUCGGCAAAGGAUGGGCCUGCGUCUGAUUAGCUAGUUGGUGGGGUAACGGCCUACCAAGGCGACGAUCAGUAGCCGACCUGAGAGGGUGAUCGGCCACAUUGGAACUGAGACACGGUCCAAACUCCUACGGGAGGCAGCAGUGGGGA
This 350-nucleotide ribosomal RNA is filed under the name uncultured bacterium. RNAcentral describes it as "bacterial SSU rRNA". It matches the Rfam family "Bacterial small subunit ribosomal RNA", at positions 43 to 360 of the family's 1533-position model. The record is from RNAcentral.